This 253-nucleotide ribosomal RNA is filed under the name uncultured bacterium. RNAcentral's name for it is "partial 16S ribosomal RNA". It matches the Rfam family "Bacterial small subunit ribosomal RNA", at positions 524 to 776 of the family's 1533-position model. The record is from RNAcentral.
UACGUAGGGGGCGAGCGUUGUCCGGAUUUAUUGGGCGUAAAGGGCUCGUAGGCGGCCAACUAAGUCAGACGUGAAAUCCCUAGGCUCAACCUAGGAACUGCGUCUGAUACUGGAUGGCUUGAAUCCGGGAGAGGGAUGCAGAAUUCCAGGUGUAGCGGUGAAAUGCGUAGAUAUCUGGAGGAACACCAACAGCGAAGGCAGCUCGCUGGGACGGUACUGACGCUGAGGCGCGAAAGCGUGGGGAGCGAACAGG